Molecule: small RNA, 568 nt
Filed under: Pan troglodytes (chimpanzee)
Lineage: Eukaryota; Metazoa; Chordata; Mammalia; Primates; Hominidae
Description: retained intron
Source: RNAcentral
CACAGAGCCCGGGCCACAGGCAGCUCCUUGCCAGCUCUCCUCCUCGCACAGCCGCUCGAACCGCCUGCUGAGCCCCAUGGCCCGCGCCACGCUCUCCACCGCUCCCAGCAAUCCCCGGGUCCUGCGGGUGGCGCUGCUGCUCCUGCUCCUGGUGGCCGCCGGCCGGCGCGCAGCAGGAGCGCCCCUGGCCACUGAACUGCGCUGCCAGUGCUUGCAGACCCUGCAGGGAAUUCACCUCAAGAACAUCCAAAGUGUGAAGGUGAAGUCCCCCGGACCCCACUGCGCCCAAACCGAAGUCAUGUAAGUCUCGCCCAUCGCUGCCGCUGCCACCGCUGGGGUCCCCGACUCUCCCGCUGCCCCAAACCCUGUCCUCAGCCCGACCUCCUGUCUCACGAGAUUCCCUUCUCUCUGCAGAGCCACACUCAAGAAUGGGCAGAAAGCUUGUCUCAACCCCACAUCGCCCAUGGUUAAGAAAAUCAUCGAAAAGAUGCUGAAAAAGUAAGUUAUAAUUUCCAUGUACACAGGCGACUGGAGCUGUUGGUCAGAAAUACUGGCGUCUGCCCCCUAA